Molecule: ribosomal RNA, 468 nt
Filed under: uncultured bacterium
Lineage: Bacteria
Description: partial 16S ribosomal RNA
Rfam family: Bacterial small subunit ribosomal RNA
Source: RNAcentral
GACGAACGCUGGCGGCGUGCUUAACACAUGCAAGUCGAACGGAAAGGCCCUGCUUUUGUGGGGUGCUCGAGUGGCGAACGGGUGAGUAACACGUGAGUAACCUGCCCUUGACUUUGGGAUAACUUCAGGAAACUGGGGCUAAUAUCGGAUAGGAGCUCCUGCUGCAUGGUGGGGGUUGGAAAGUUUCGGCGGUUGGGGAUGGACUCGCGGCUUAUCAGCUUGUUGGUGGGGUAGUGGCUUACCAAGGCUUUGACGGGUAGCCGGCCUGAGAGGGUGACCGGCCACAUUGGGACUGAGAUACGGCCCAGACUCCUACGGGAGGCAGCAGUGGGGAAUAUUGCACAAUGGGCGGAAGCCUGAUGCAGCAACGCCGCGUGCGGGAUGACGGCCUGCGGGUUGUAAACCGCUUUCGCCUGUGACGAAGCGUGAGUGACGGUAAUGGGUAAAGAAGCACCGGCUAACUACGUG